Non-coding RNA from Myodes glareolus (Bank vole), 1612 nucleotides. NCBI's taxonomy places the organism in Eukaryota, Metazoa, Chordata, Mammalia, Rodentia, Cricetidae. The record is from RefSeq and is a predicted model, not a curated record.
GUUGUGCUGGGUGAGUUUCCUGAGCCAGACGCACUGAAACACAUAUUCGUGAAACACAAAUAAAACACUAGCCGGCUAUCUUAUUUCGGCUAGACUUUACCAAGAUAGCUUCCGCUCCGACUGUCUACCACACAAUAAACACAUUGUGUACGAAUCUGCUGCAAUUAUCUGUUAUGCAAAACAUGACAUUUUUGAGCAUACUUUGUUUCAGUUGGGGUUAUGACGUAAGUCUCUAUGGCAGAGCCUGGGAAUCCUCCUUGACCAGCAGUGAUGCUCACGGUACAUUUUCAUCCACAAAGACAAGUUAAUCAAUCUCUUUACAGCUCUGCACAAAUAGCCACAUUUCAAACACGAAGUAUUUCAGUGACAUCAGGCAACUCGUGGAUCUUAAUCUCAUCCUCGGCUCACCACGAGGCUCGGCCGCAUCUGCAGCAACCGGCCCUCGGCUCCCUACAUCCGACCGCCGGGCGCAUAGGGCGCAGGGGAGAGGAAAGAGGAGCGGCAGGGACGGCACCUGGCCCGCUCUCUAACGACAAAGCAGCGCGGCGACAGGCGGCCCGCAGACGCCACAUUUCCUUUCCUGUCUCACUUCCGGCGCGGACCCCCACGAACAACAGACACCCAGAUACUCCCGGGCCCAGGGCGCGCGCAGACACAGGCCCGCGUGCGCGCCCCCGGAGGGCCGUGAGCGCGCGGACGCACGCAGCCGACCAAUCAUGAAGGCCGCGGGGGGACCGGCGUGAGACGCGCCACCUGACGUCACUUCCUCGGAGCAGGCAACUACUUCCCAGGCUCCUGCCCUCUCCCCCGGAAGCCGUGACUGCAGCGGAGGGCAGCGUGGUUCGCGUUCCUUUGGCAUCCGAAAGGCUACCAAAGAGCAGCCGCGCCACAGCCGCAGCGCCAUAAUUACCAAGCCGCGGGGCCGCUGGGAAACGCCACGGUGCGGUCAAACAGCCUUUCUGAAGUGCCCGCUGCUCCACGCCGCAGUCCUCCUCCAGAAACUUCAACUCCCAGAGGCGGUGGCUGCACGCCUGGUUACGCACUUACGCGUUACGUCAUCGGCCUGCGCCAAUUACAUACUUAAGUUGGGGAAGGGGCGGUGCUUCUAGAGGGCGGGGUCAAGGCCUGGGUUUUGUUGAAUAGCGUGUAGCCAGAACGAGGUGUUUUUCUGUUGGCAGGCGCUGUAUUGGUACUCGUUCGCGUUUUGUUCUUGUAGAAGCUCGGGUCGCGAGAGGAGGAAAGCCCCACUUUUAAAAAUUAAAAUACGAAGCAGACGAAAUUUUUUUUUUUUGGUGUUGAGAAGAUGAUCUAUUGCCCAAAUAAUUUCUAAUUUAUGUAAGAAGCAGUUGCCAGUAUCACAUAAGUUUUCCUAACUGGAAAAAAAUUGAAAGAGAAGUUCUUAGUAAAAAAGCAUUCAAAUUGGAAAUUUUAAGGGUUUUUUUUUAUCCUUAUUAAAAACAAACACAUUACACUCCAUUCUUUGAGGUUUUCCUAUGCUAUUUUGUGAAACACUAGUGAUAUUUCAUCGUUUGUAACAUUUGACCUUAUAUAAUCUUUUUGCUAAAUAUAGACCAAGUCAACCAAGAAGAAAAAGCAGUUAUGCAGAUUGACC